UCAAAGGCUGUUUUCAGAGCCACCCACAAGAUCAGAAAAGAGCUA
Molecule: non-coding RNA, 45 nt
Organism: Chelonia mydas (Green sea turtle)
Lineage: Eukaryota; Metazoa; Chordata; Testudines; Cheloniidae
Source: Rfam